CACGUAGGGUGCGAGCGUUGUCCGGAAUUAUUGGGCGUAAAGAGCUCGUAGGCGGUGUGUCGCGUCGGCCGUGAAAACCUGCAGCUUAACUGUGGGCGUGCGGUCGAUACGGGCAUCACUGGAGUUCGGCAGGGGAGACUGGAAUUCCUGGUGUAGCGGUGAAGUGCGCAGAUAUCAGGAGGAACACCGGUGGCGGAGGCGGGUCUCUGGGCCGAUACUGACGCUGAGGAGCGAAAGCGUGGGGAGCGAACAGG
RNAcentral lists this ribosomal RNA (254 nucleotides) under uncultured bacterium. RNAcentral describes it as "partial 16S ribosomal RNA". It matches the Rfam family "Bacterial small subunit ribosomal RNA", at positions 524 to 776 of the family's 1533-position model. The record is from RNAcentral.